CAGUAGCCGCGGUAAUACGAGGGGGGCAAGCGUUGUUCGGAAUUAUUGGGCGUAAAGGGUGCGUAGGCGGCUUGACAAGUCUUGUGUGAAAUCUAUGGGCUCAACCCAUAGUCUGCACGGGAAACUGUCGGGCUUGAGAAUGGGAGAGGUGAGUGGAAUUUCCGGUGUAGCGGUGAAAUGCGUAGAUAUCGGAAGGAACACCUGUGGCGAAAGCGGCUCACUGGACCAUUUCUGACGCUGAUGCACGAAAGCUAGGGGAGCAAACAGGAUUAGAUACCCCCGUAGUCCCUGUCUCUUAUAC
This 301-nucleotide ribosomal RNA is filed under the name uncultured bacterium. Its description in RNAcentral is "partial 16S ribosomal RNA". It matches the Rfam family "Bacterial small subunit ribosomal RNA", at positions 509 to 807 of the family's 1533-position model. The record is from RNAcentral.